RNAcentral lists this ribosomal RNA (433 nucleotides) under uncultured bacterium. RNAcentral describes it as "partial 16S ribosomal RNA". It matches the Rfam family "Bacterial small subunit ribosomal RNA", at positions 29 to 507 of the family's 1533-position model. The record is from RNAcentral.
AACGAACGCUGGCGGCAUGCCUAACACAUGCAAGUCGAGCGAGGCCUUCGGGUCUAGUGGCGCACGGGUGCGUAACGCGUGGGAACCUGCCUUUAGGUUCGGAAUAACUCAGAGAAAUUUGAGCUAAUACCGGAUGAUGUCUUCGGACCAAAGAUUUAUCGCCUUUAGAUGGGCCCGCGUUGGAUUAGCUAGUUGGUGGGGUAAAGGCCUACCAAGGCGACGAUCCAUAGCUGGUCUGAGAGGAUGAUCAGCCACACUGGGACUGAGACACGGCCCAGACUCCUACGGGAGGCAGCAGUGGGGAAUAUUGGACAAUGGGCGAAAGCCUGAUCCAGCAAUGCCGCGUGAGUGAUGAAGGCCUUAGGGUUGUAAAGCUCUUUUACCCGAGAUGAUAAUGACAGUAUCGGGAGAAUAAGCUCCGGCUAACUCCGUG